AAAAAAGUGAUAGUUAACAGACAUAAAUAAAUAAUAUUUCGUUAUAUCGACUUCAUGUUUUUACACACAUUCCAGAAUUAUCCUACCACCCACCCCAAAACAAAAACUAUCCUGCCUAGGUUUCAUUGUAUAGGUCACUCUUUCAUUUUUGUCUGUUUCGGAAAAGAAUGACAUCUUUCUAUAUUUAGAAACCAUUUAGCCUUCACUCUUCCAUUUUACCCUUAUGACAUGCUCUUUUAUAUAUAGCCGUAAAAAUGUCAAUAGCAUAUUUAGGACCAUAAGUUUUAGGAUACUUUUGGCAUGUGCCAAAUUAGACUCCUCGCCCAGCCAAAUACUGCCAAAUAAAAUGAAAUGAGACAUGAGAGUAAUCAUUAAUAUUUGAGCACUCUUUACCCUUUGAAUGAUGUCAGCACCCAACUUUUCAUCUGCAUCUUCGAGCUUGUCCUUAAUCGCAGGGACAUAAGUUGAUAGAUGAACAAAGGCAGCACCACCACCAGGUACUAUUCCCUCUUCGAUUGCAGCAAAAGUUGCAUUCUUUGCAUCCUCAAUGCGAAGCUUGCGGUCCUCAAGCUCAGCCUCUGUAGCAGCUCCGACCUUGAUGACGGCAACACCCCCAGACAACUUGGCGAUUCUCUCAGCAAGUUUCUCAGAGUCGUAAACCGAGUCUGUCUCGGACAACUCCUUUUUGAGCUGAGCAAUCCUAGCCUGUAUCUCAUCCU
This 719-nucleotide long non-coding RNA is filed under the name Nicotiana tabacum (common tobacco). RNAcentral's name for it is "long non-coding RNA (NTAB_LNC018401)". The record is from RNAcentral. Lineage: Eukaryota; Viridiplantae; Streptophyta; Magnoliopsida; Solanales; Solanaceae.